RNAcentral lists this ribosomal RNA (797 nucleotides) under uncultured Glomus. RNAcentral describes it as "SSU rRNA". It matches the Rfam family "Eukaryotic small subunit ribosomal RNA", at positions 322 to 1114 of the family's 1831-position model. The record is from RNAcentral. Lineage: Eukaryota; Fungi; Glomeromycota; Glomeromycetes; Glomerales; Glomeraceae.
UCGAUGGUAGGAUAGAGGCCUACCAUGGUGGUAACGGGUAACGGGGAAUUAUGGUUCGAUUCCGGAGAGGGAGCCUGAGAAACGGCUACCACAUCCAAGGAAGGCAGCAGGCGCGCAAAUUACCCAAUCCCGACACGGGGAGGUAGUGACAAUAAAUAACAAUACGGGGCUCUUUCGGGUCUCGUAAUUGGAAUGAGUACAAUUUAAAUCCCUUAACGAGGAACAAUUGGAGGGCAAGUCUGGUGCCAGCAGCCGCGGUAAUUCCAGCUCCAAUAGCGUAUAUUAAAGUUGUUGCAGUUAAAAAGCUCGUAGUUGAAUUUCGGGAUUGACACAUCGGUCGUGCCUUAAGGGGUAUGAACUGGUGUAGUCAAUUUCUCACCUUCUGGAGAACCGCGAUGCCCUUAAUUGGGUGUCGCGGGGAACCAGGACCUUUACUUUGAAAAAAUUAGAGUGUUUAAAGCAGGCAUUUUGCUUGAAUACAUUAGCAUGGAAUAAUAAAAUAGGACGGCAUGAUUCUAUUUUGUUGGUUUCUAGGAUCACCGUAAUGAUUAAUAGGGAUAGUUGGGGGCAUUAGUAUUCAAUUGUCAGAGGUGAAAUUCUUGGAUUUAUUGAAGACUAACUACUGCGAAAGCAUUUGCCAAGGAUGUUUUCAUUAAUCAAGAACGAAAGUUAGGGGAUCGAAGACGAUCAGAUACCGUCGUAGUCUUAACCAUAAACUAUGCCGACUAGGAAUCAGACGAUGUUAAUUUUUUAAUGACUCGUUUGGCACCUUACGGGAAACCAAAGUGUUUGGGUUC